Molecule: long non-coding RNA, 723 nt
Filed under: Hordeum vulgare
Lineage: Eukaryota; Viridiplantae; Streptophyta; Magnoliopsida; Poales; Poaceae
Description: long non-coding RNA (HVUL_LNC009381)
Source: RNAcentral
UAGCUCUCUUGACUCCACUAAUGAUUCUCUUAGACAAGUUACACUUGAGCAAGAAAAAAAUUUAUUGAAAGGAAUUAUAGAGAGUGGUGUCUUCAAGAGUCUUGCUGGAAGUAAACAAUUCGAGGAUAUUCUACGCAAGCAAGGAGGACAUCGGAAGAAACAAGGCAUUGGCUACUUCAAUGCAAAUGGAGUUGAAUAGGAAGAACAACAAUACCCCAACUCGUAGUUUGUUUCCCAAAAGGAGAAGUAUAAUCCUACUCUCCCCAAGGGAACAAAUGCUCAAUAUGACCUUCAACCACAAGACUACCAGCUCAAGGGCAAGGAGAAGCUUCAAGAGGAGAUUGAAUCAUUUGAAGGAGAAUCCCAAGGCAUGGUCAAGUGGAUUCCCAAGGCCACAACUAUCUCUACUUCAUCAAGCUCUACCUCAACUCCAAGGAUCCCCAUCAAGUUGAUGUGGGUCCCUAAUAAGAAGAACUAGAGAAUUUCUUGAGGGCUCACUCCGCCAAUAAAAUUCACUCUUAUUCAUUUUGGCAAGAACUAGUUGCAAUCAACUCCAACUAUAUGUAUUAGUUCAAGGAGUCACACAUUCCCUCAAAGUUAAGCAAGGGACAAGGUAAUUAAUGUAUCAAUGGACAUCAUCUCACAUGUACUUCAUUCCAUGUCCAUAGAUAUCCUUGUAUUUGUUCCUUGUGUGGGACUAACCCGUGUAGGUGACAAGAUUAU